CAUGCUCAGCGGGCAUAAAAGCUGCUUAGAGUGUUCCUCUUUUUAGGUUUUAGGACUGCAAAGAUGUUUCGCCGCACGGCCGCGAAGCUGUACCGCUACCAGGAGUUUGAGAUGCACAAUGAGGCCAAGUACCCGUUCAACUAUCCACGAGAGGCUCCGAACACAUCUGUUUUCCAUCAGUACCAGCUGAAUUUCUGGAUGUUUUGGGGCUAUGGCCGUCAGGAGCUUUGGAUUGACCGUGACAAUCGCCGCUACGAAACGACUUGGGAGAUGUUUCGCCGUCUAUUAAUGUGGUUCUUUCCGUGCUACUUUGUGUUCCCGUUUGGCCUGCCUAAAUUUAUCGCCGCCAACGCAUUUGGUGAAUACGGAGAAAAACCAUAUCUCGACGCGAUGAUGCACUCGCCAAUGGACAAUCACUACAUCGAAUGGGGCGGCAGCACCCUUGAUGCAGAGUGGCUGCGCCACAUACACUCGAAGGAGUCCUUUUAAAUUUCUACGACCGCUUUCCUGCUUCUCCUUUUGAAGAAUCUGCUAGUAGGUUUUUCUUUGAGCUUCUCUACAUAAAUGUUCGAGACGUAAGUUGGAUGAGGAGAACGGUCUUUUCCAACCUCCAGCGAAGGUCUCUGUCGGUAGUUUUUUUUUUAUAGCCACUUUGUGUGCCAAGCAUAUCGAAGUCUCAUUUGUCGCAUCUACAGUGAAACUUGUACUAUAGUAGGGAUAAGGGAGGCCGCAAG
RNAcentral lists this unclassified non-coding RNA (734 nucleotides) under Leishmania donovani. RNAcentral's name for it is "gene:LdHU3.30.4360(CDS-product:hypothetical_prote in_conserved)". Lineage: Eukaryota; Euglenozoa; Kinetoplastea; Trypanosomatida; Trypanosomatidae. The record is from RNAcentral.